AGAUUGAACGCUGGCGGCAUGCCUAACACAUGCAAGUCGAACGGGAGUAGCAAUACUCUAGUGGCGGACGGGUGAGGAAUACGUAGGAAUUUGCCCUUAAGUGGGGGAUAACCCGGGGAAACCCGGAUUAAUACCGCAUGACCUCGAAAGAGCAAAGUGGGGGAUCGCAAGACCUCACGCUUUUGGAGAAGCCUACGUCGCAUUAGCUAGUUGGUGAGGUAAUGGCUCACCAAGGCGACGAUCCGUAACUGGUCUGAGAGGAUGAUCAGUCACACCGGAACUGAGACACGGUCCGGACUCCUACGGGAGCAGCAGUGGGGAAUAUUGGACAA
This 332-nucleotide ribosomal RNA is filed under the name uncultured soil bacterium. RNAcentral's name for it is "bacterial SSU rRNA". It matches the Rfam family "Bacterial small subunit ribosomal RNA", at positions 26 to 371 of the family's 1533-position model. The record is from RNAcentral.